GACGAACCGUGCGAACGUUGUUCGGAAUCACUGGGCAUAAAGGGCGCGUAGGCGGCUUUUCAAGUCAGGGGUGAAAUCCGGCAGCUCAACUGUCGAAGUGCCUUUGAUACUGAUGAGCUCGAGGGAGGUAGGGGUCUGUGGAACUUCCGGUGGAGCGGUGAAAUGCGUUGAUAUCGGAAGGAACGCCGGUGGCGAAAGCGACGGACUGGACCUCUUCUGACGCUGAGGCGCGAAAGCCAGGGGAGCAAACGGG
This 253-nucleotide ribosomal RNA is filed under the name uncultured bacterium. RNAcentral describes it as "partial 16S ribosomal RNA". It matches the Rfam family "Bacterial small subunit ribosomal RNA", at positions 524 to 776 of the family's 1533-position model. The record is from RNAcentral.